AAUUUAGCCUCCUUGUUGAGUGGCUAUUGUUGUUAAGAGUUUUUGUUUUUUUUAAUUUCUUCUGUAAAAGUUUAAGCUAUUUUAAUAUUUUUUAUUUUUAUACUUAACACUUAUUACUAGACGUUUUGAAAGGUUUGAUAGUUGGACUUGAGAUUAAAUGAGAGAGAAUUAAGUAAAGCUAGAAAUAGAAGUUUGGUAGAGUUUGAAUUCAAUAAUAAGAACUUUACAACUUUAAAAUGUUACUAAAUAAUGUUGGAUAUAGGGCUCGCUUGGUUAUGUGCGAUUAUAACUGCAGCAGCUGUAACUGUACCUUUUUUUUGUUUUAUAUUACCAUAGCUACAACUGCAUUUAUUACUUUUGGAGGUUAAAAUCGAAUCAUCUAAUUCUUCACCAACUACAGAAGUCGAACUGUUGUCAGUUUGGUUGUAAUUUCAGCUGCAGAAGUUGAAUUUUCUUGCGCAAUUUUAAUCGCAAGAGUUUAUGAGUUAAUUAAAGGGUGGGUUAAUAUCAUACUGUUUUUUGCAAAUAUAGUAAAUAACAAAUAUAUUUCUAUAAAGUUCAACUUUUAUAUGUUGUUUCUGCAAAAGUCAUGAUAUUUUUAAAUAUGUUCCUACUGUUAGAAUCCGUUAGAAAAUUUUAGUUAACCAUAUGUUAAAUACUUAACUCUGAUCAGUUUUUGACAUUUUUACCCUCUUGUAUUAUACUGUUAUAACUUUUGGAAGAACAUAUUUCUGAUGGCAAAAUUGAAAAUAUAAACAGUUUUCUAACAGUUCUCUAACGGUAAUAAACCAGAUGGACAUAUUUGAAAAUGUUAGAAGUUUUAUAGGAAUAAUAUAUGAAAGUUAAACUUUAUAGGAAUAUGUUUAUUAUUUACUAAAUUUGUAGGGACCUGUAUGAAAUUAAUCUUUAAUUAAAAAAUUGCCAUGCUUUAUUCACAUGUUCUCCUUUGCUUUUCCUUUUUCUUUU
RNAcentral lists this long non-coding RNA (966 nucleotides) under Ananas comosus (pineapple). Its description in RNAcentral is "long non-coding RNA (ACOM_LNC031101)". Lineage: Eukaryota; Viridiplantae; Streptophyta; Magnoliopsida; Poales; Bromeliaceae. The record is from RNAcentral.